AAGAAUGCAAUGAAGAGGAGAGUAGUUUCGGCAAGUCAUUUCAGGGAGUCCUGGUAAGUGAGAAGGGAUAAUGAUUACCGAAACGAAAGUAGCCUUUGAGCAGUAAAUGCGAAGUAAUGAGUAUUUACGGCGCGCACGCCUUAAAGUGCCGGUGUAUCGCUGAGUAAAAUUGGCCGUACAUGACGAGGUAAUUUGUGUAAGCAGAUUAUAAAUUAAGGUGGUACCGUGCUUAAAGCGCCCUUGAU
This 245-nucleotide non-coding RNA is filed under the name Lentilactobacillus farraginis. RNAcentral describes it as "Lactobacillus farraginis T-box sequence". It matches the Rfam family "T-box leader". Rfam says of the family: Uncharged tRNA acts as the effector for transcription antitermination of genes in the T-box leader family. T-boxes are found upstream of many aminoacyl-tRNA synthetase genes and some amino acid biosynthetic genes usually in Gram-positive bacteria. Lineage: Bacteria; Bacillati; Bacillota; Bacilli; Lactobacillales; Lactobacillaceae. The record is from RNAcentral.